Molecule: ribosomal RNA, 506 nt
Filed under: uncultured bacterium
Lineage: Bacteria
Description: partial 16S ribosomal RNA
Rfam family: Bacterial small subunit ribosomal RNA
Source: RNAcentral
GAUGAACGCUAGCUACAGGCUUAACACAUGCAAGUCGAGGGGUAACGAGAGGAAAGCUUGCUUUCCUUGUCGACGACCGGCGCACGGGUGAGUAACGCGUAUCCAACCUGCCCCCAACUAAGGAAUAACCUUGCGAAAGUAAGACUAAUACCUUAUAAUUUCCUCAGAUGUCAUCUGACGAGGAAUAAAGAUUUAUCGGUUGGGGAUGGGGAUGGGUGUGAUUAGCUUGUUGGCGGGGUAACGGCCCACCAAGGCAACGAUCAGUAGGGGUUCUGCGAGGAAGGUCCCCCACAUUUGAACUGAGACACUGUCCAAACUCCUACGGGAGGCAGCAGUGAGGAAUAUUGGUCAAUGGGCGAAAGCCUGAACCAGCCAAGUAGCGUUCAGGAUGACGGCCCUAUGGGUUGUAAACUGCUUUUAUACAGGAAUAAAGUUAGCCACGUGUGGUUAUUUGUAGGUACUGUAUGAAUAAGGACCGGCUAAUUCCGUGCCAGCCGCCGCCGUAA